GGCGGUGGCACUGACACAUGUGGAGUUCCGAGGGCACCAGCGAGCACAGACUGUGGGGGCAGAGGCUGUGGGACAAAGACCAGGCAGAGUCUCUAAGGUUC
Molecule: non-coding RNA, 101 nt
Organism: Ceratotherium simum simum (southern white rhinoceros)
Lineage: Eukaryota; Metazoa; Chordata; Mammalia; Perissodactyla; Rhinocerotidae
Source: RefSeq, a predicted model, not a curated record